Pelobates cultripes (western spadefoot toad) is the source of this 379-nucleotide non-coding RNA. NCBI's taxonomy places the organism in Eukaryota, Metazoa, Chordata, Amphibia, Anura, Pelobatidae. The record is from the annotation of a GenBank genome assembly.
GCAUUUAGAGAGAAGGGUGGGCCAAUGCUCCACUCCACAGUUUAGUGGUUUUCUGGGGAGACAUAGAUCCAGGCCAGGGUUUUUUGGACCGUCUCCAACCCACUGCUCAGCUGCAGUUAAUGAGCUGUUGCAGUGGGAAUAAACCCCUCCCUGCUAGGCAGGUAAAAGGGGGGGAAUUGCUGGCUUCCUCCCAGGAAGCAGGUAGGAGAGAGGCUGUUCUCUCCAGAUAGAGAGUCAAGGAGACUAGGCACUGGGAGUGCAGAAAGGAAGCAGUCAAGGCUGGCUUGGAGCACUGGGAGUGCAGGAGGAAGCAGUCAAGGCUGGCUUGGAGCACUGGGAGUGCAGAAAGGAAAGCAGUCAGGGCAAGGCUGGCUUGGAG